GACGAGCGCUGGCGGCGUGCUUAACACAUGCAAGUCGAACGGAAAGGCCCUGCUUGCAGGGUACUCGAGUGGCGAACGGGUGAGUAACACGUGGGUGAUCUGCCCUGCACUUCGGGAUAAGCUUGGGAAACUGGGUCUAAUACCGGAUAGGAGCCAUCUUUAGUGUGGUGGUUGGAAAGUUUUUUCGGUGUAGGAUGAGCUCGCGGCCUAUCAGCUUGUUGGUGGGGUAAUGGCCUACCAAGGCGGCGACGGGUAGCCGGCCUGAGAGGGUGUACGGCCACAUUGGGACUGUGAUACGGGCCAGACUCCUACGGGAGGGAGCAGUGGGGAAUAUUUGACAAAGGGCGCCAGCCUGAUGCAGGGACGCCGCGUGGGGGAUGAAGGCCUUCGGGUUGUAAACUCCUGUCGCCAGUGACGAAGCUUUUUUGUGACGGUACCUAGAGAAGAAGCACCGGCUAACUACGUG
Molecule: ribosomal RNA, 466 nt
Filed under: uncultured bacterium
Lineage: Bacteria
Description: partial 16S ribosomal RNA
Rfam family: Bacterial small subunit ribosomal RNA
Source: RNAcentral